Daphnia magna is the source of this 1248-nucleotide long non-coding RNA. RefSeq lists it as uncharacterized. The transcript has 4 exons. NCBI's taxonomy places the organism in Eukaryota, Metazoa, Arthropoda, Branchiopoda, Diplostraca, Daphniidae. The record is from RefSeq and is a predicted model, not a curated record.
GUGGUUUCGGAAGAAAAAUCACGGUAAACUUAGUAGAAAAAGAACGUUAAAACUAGCUUUUUCAGCUCGUUCAUCACAUUUUUCCCUGUAAAUUAUUUAAUUAAUACUACAAGUCGGAGGCAAACAAAACGACAAGUUCUCACCUGUAACAAUCGGUCUUCAUGAGAUACGUCGUCCACUUCAUCAGCCUCAGCCAUUGCGUCGUACUGCCCGUAAGAUGACAUACCAGUAAAAUCUUCAGUAGCAGAAAGGGGCAGUUUUAUUCGCCUGAAGGUGACUUCUGGGAGUUUCCAACGCUGGAAUUCGUCAAUCCAUAUGCAUUGCUGCUUUAUAUGAUCAAGAUCGCUAUGAAUCAUUUAAAUUUUAGAAAUUAUUUGCGAAAUUUAAAUGGAGAUAGGAACUGAAACCUGUAAUUGGAAUCUUUCCGUAUAAGAGGUUGAACUUUUACAAUAAUCUCGUGCAGCAGCCUUAACUGCUGCUCUUGCCGUCGAACCGUUUCGAGGUAGUCGCAUCUUUCUCUUUCGAAUUCACUCUGCAAAUCUUGAAUAUCUCGAUCCAGGGAACGUAACUUUGUUUUCAUUAAAAAAAUUAUUUUAUAUGACUGUAACACAAAAUGCCACUUAACUUACUUUCAGUUUAUAUUUUUUUAUGGUUUCAGUUUUAACCCGGACUUCAUGUUGGAUGUCAUCAUAGACUCGCAAAAGCGCCCCAUCUUCGUCUUCCGUUCGAGCCAAAAGCUGCGCAAGCAAAGCUCUCCGUCGUUCUGACUGAUGCUUCCGCUUCCAGUGCCGCUCUCGAAACUCUGGAUCAUUGGCUUUCUCCCCUCCUACUAAGUUGCCCUCAAUUUGCCUCAGCCUUAACAAAAACACCUUUUCAGUUUUUACUUCUUUUUUCACCAGAUUUUUCUCGGCUUUCAAUUUUUAAGUUAAUGCUUCUUCAGAAGCAGACGCCAGAUGGCUUUUUAGGCCGGGAAAUGCGGAUUUAAAAAGCUUCAUAGGCUCGACGUAAAUUUUCCAUCUCAGAAGUUGCUUUGGCAUUCGUUUCUUGCUCCUUUUCUACUUGCCUCUGGAGUUGGCGAAUUUUUUCUUCAUAUUCGAUCUGCAGCAGGACUUUUUCUUGUUCAAGAUCAAUUUCUACUAAAAGUAGAAGUAGAAGUAUGGAAUUUACAAAGAAAAAUUAUUCUACAAUUUUGAGUGCAUGAUUAAGAAAUAUAUCAAUACAACAUAAAUAAACUUUUAAAUAACCCAA